RNAcentral lists this long non-coding RNA (445 nucleotides) under Hordeum vulgare. Its description in RNAcentral is "long non-coding RNA (HVUL_LNC010818)". Lineage: Eukaryota; Viridiplantae; Streptophyta; Magnoliopsida; Poales; Poaceae. The record is from RNAcentral.
CCGCGCGUGCCGCCGCCGUACGCCGGCCCGCGCACCGGCGCCCCCGUCCGCCGUGUCAGCGCGCCAUUGGCGGCUCGCCGGCCAGGAAAGGCCCGGUUGCAGCGGGAGCGCGGUGGUGCGGUGUGCGUUCACCACACCAGUAUACAAGUCGAGGAUAUAGGUCACUCACUCUCUCUGAAUAUAAGAGGCCAGCAAUGGAAAGCCUGGCCCGCUUCUUUUCGGGAGGGUGACCCACCUGUUAGGCCUGCGGCCUGCGUCGCUUUCGUUUCACCCCUAGUUUACGCAUCCCAUCGACCUCCGCCUUUUCCUGGGAGGAAGAAGAAGAAGACGUCUGUGUGUGGAAAGGAGCUGCACCGAGGAAGAGGAAGGAGAGGGACGAUGGAACCCGUGGGAAAGUUAGGUUAUAAUGGGGUCGGUCAGAGCACCGGUGAGCGUGGUGCACGCG